This 93-nucleotide small RNA is filed under the name Candidatus Hamiltonella defensa 5AT (Acyrthosiphon pisum). RNAcentral's name for it is "t44 RNA". It matches the Rfam family "t44 RNA". From Rfam's summary of the family: This family consists of a number of bacterial RNA genes of between 135 and 170 bases in length. The t44 gene is found between the map and rpsB genes in all species in the full alignment apart from Shigella flexneri. The record is from Rfam by way of RNAcentral. Lineage: Bacteria; Pseudomonadati; Pseudomonadota; Gammaproteobacteria; Enterobacterales; Enterobacteriaceae.
CUUACUCUGUGUUAAACACACACACUGGUCGACACAUAAUCCGGGGUGCCCAGAUAUUUUGGGUCGGUAUUACGGGACUGGUGGAGGUAUAAC